This is a non-coding RNA of Paramisgurnus dabryanus, 2144 nucleotides long. The record is from RefSeq and is a predicted model, not a curated record. NCBI's taxonomy places the organism in Eukaryota, Metazoa, Chordata, Actinopteri, Cypriniformes, Cobitidae.
CUGUGCGUACACCUUGGUUAAUACUGCAAUAAAUAAUUUAAGUGAACAAAGUAGUUUUUAAGAGGUUAUGAAUAGACGUCUACUCACGUCUUUUACACGUCUAGACUAGACUCGUAGGAAAAAAACGGAAUAAUCUUUAUGAAAUACACGAUUUGUAUACAAAGUAAAUAUAUUAACUUUAUCUUGUUUAAAUAAAUUAUAAUCACAAAGUGCCCCGUGUGAUUGCAAAGCCACACUGCAUUUUAGUCAUUAUUUCAACCUGUUUUAUUAUUGAAUGUAUGCAUAUAAAUGUAAAACAGAUACAUAUCCGGUCACAAUUUAGGUCUGAGUUGGAUGUAUUUUCAAAAACUGUGUUUGUAAGAUUAUUUUAAGAAAUAUAGUGAUACAUCUCGGGAUAUUACAAAAUCCCGCGAUAGGACAGAUUAUCUCGCGAGAUAGUGGUCACGUCACGCGUUCUUCCGGAAGUUCACAUUCAAACACGAGGAGCGGUUACGAGGGAGUUUUGUCUAUAUAUUAUGCAAAAUCUACUGUUGGGAAAAGCAGAACCUCAUCCAAAUAAAAAUAAACAAGCUGUUAAAGGCACUGUGUCCUACACAGACCCUCCAAAAUAUAACCACCCAAAACCCAAGUCAGUUGAAGAUCAACACAAACCAAAUAAAGAUGCGCAUUCUACAAACGAUAAAAAAAGAUCAAGUUUUGUGUCCAACACACUUGGAUUAGACGUGCCCGACCCCUGACUUUGUCUACCCUAUAUUAAGUUGUAAGUUUUUGACUUCUUUGCUUAAUACUACGAAAAAGCAUGAUUUUUUUCAUAAAGGACUUUUAUAUAUUUUGAUAUGAAACUCAAAAAUGUAUAUAAAUUGUUUUGGUGUAUUUUGUUUACACAGGCACACUUCAUGACAGUAAACAUCGGUAUCAAGAUGGUGUGAUUGAUCUAUACCCUAGAAUAACUGUGACACUAUGAGACGGUCACAUAAUGAACAGCCAUCUUACAGACAACCGAAAGAGUAUUCUCUACAAUCCCAAAUUCUGGAUUGACGCCCCAGUACCAGAGGGCACCCCAAUCCCAGAGAGCAUCCAUCUGAAAGCAGGUGAGGUAACACAAGAAAAACUAACAGGAUGGAGACUACCUGAUUCUUCACCUAUGGCCUUAGCUUCAAAUGCAAGAAGUCCAGCAACUGUCUGAGCUGGUGGAUAUUCUGUCAGAGACUGCGUGAACAAUGUUAUGAACAGGUAUGUAUUUCUCUUGAAUUGUGUAAUCUUGCACCAUAAUAUUUCAGGAAUAUAUGUUGAUUACCACCAUUAACCCAGCUAUUUAUAUUACUUCAUUUCAGGAUUUAAUCUGUCACACAUUACUUGUCAGAAGUUUUAAUGUUCGGAGUGGCUCAAACAGUCAGCCAUACUGAAAACAAGAAAUCAAAACAUAAUUUCAGUAAUGAUGUCUAAUUGUCUUAUGGCAAAGUUCAAUAUGAGGGGUGGUGGACAUCUGGAAAAGAAGUCUUUUAAAGGCACACCUUUGUAUUAUGUUAUUCAAGAUGCUGUGAAGAGGUGGAGCCCAAAUGCCACAGACUCGGAAAUAGAUGCAGCUAUGGCAGACGACCUCAAGCUAAAUAAGCCAAAGAGCUGUAAUGUGUUAAAGAGAGAGUUCACCCAAAAAUGAAAAUUGUUAUAAUUUUUUUACCCACAUGUUUCAAACCUGUAUACAUUUCUAUUUUCUGCUGAACACAAAGAUUGAAAAAUGUUUGUAACCAAGCUAACUGUCAAUAAUUUUUUUUUAAAAUUGUAGUACUGGGUUGUGAGAUCUGCUUUCUAUUCUUUCAAAUAUCUUUGUGUUCAGCAGAACAUAGAAAAGUAUACAGGUUUGAAACAUAAGAGAGAGUAAAUUACUAAAUAAUCAUUUUGGGUGAACUAUCCUUUUAUAGAGUAAAGUAUUUUGAAAUUGUUAUUAUAGUUAAACGGUUUAAAAAAAUAAAAAGUGCUAAAUCAGAACAUGCUUCUUUUUUUGCUUGUAUCCAUAAAUAAUGUGUUCUUUAAUGUGUUUGUGAAAUACACGUGAUUACAACGUUAUAAAGACGUUCAGGUUUGACUGGACUGAAUUUGUGUAUUUUAAGAACCUUAAUAAUUGCCUAUUACAAUUGUACAAA